ACGGGAGGCAGCAGUGGGGAAUAUUGCACAAUGGGCGAAAGCCUGAUGCAGCGACGCCGCGUGAGUGAUGAAGUAUUUCGGUAUGUAAAGCUCUAUCAGCAGGGAAGAAAAUGACGGUACCUGACUAAGAAGCCCCGGCUAACUACGUGCCAGCAGCCGCGGUAAUACGUAGGGGGCAAGCGUUAUCCGGAUUUACUGGGUGUAAAGGGAGCGUAGGUGGCAAGGCAAGCCAGAAGUGAAAAUCCGGGGCUCAACCCCGGAACUGCUUUUGGAACUGUCUAGCUAGAGUGCAGGAGAGGUAAGCGGAAUUCCUAGUGUAGCGGUGAAAUGCGUAGAUAUUAGGAGGAACACCAGUGGCGAAGGCGGCUUACUGGACUGUAACUGACACUGAGGCUCGAAAGCGUGGGGAGCAAACAGGAUUAGAUACCCUGGUA
This 434-nucleotide ribosomal RNA is filed under the name uncultured Clostridium sp. RNAcentral describes it as "partial 16S ribosomal RNA". It matches the Rfam family "Bacterial small subunit ribosomal RNA", at positions 341 to 792 of the family's 1533-position model. Lineage: Bacteria; Bacillati; Bacillota; Clostridia; Eubacteriales; Clostridiaceae. The record is from RNAcentral. RNAcentral also lists the same sequence under 1 other name.